UACGUAGGUGGCAAGCGUUGUCCGGAUUUACUGGGCGUAAAGAGCGCGCAGGCGGCCCGAUAAGUCCGUUGUGAAAGUCAAAGGCUCAACCUUUGAAUGCCGAUGGAUACUGUCGGGCUAGAGUCCGGAAGAGGCGAGUGGAAUUCCUGGUGUAGCGGUGGAAUGCGCAGAUAUCAGGAGGAACACCAAUAGCGAAGGCAGCUCGCUGGGACGGUACUGACGCUAAGGCGCGAAAGCGUGGGGAGCGAACAGG
This 253-nucleotide ribosomal RNA is filed under the name uncultured bacterium. RNAcentral describes it as "partial 16S ribosomal RNA". It matches the Rfam family "Bacterial small subunit ribosomal RNA", at positions 524 to 776 of the family's 1533-position model. The record is from RNAcentral.